RNAcentral lists this ribosomal RNA (406 nucleotides) under uncultured bacterium. Its description in RNAcentral is "partial 16S ribosomal RNA". It matches the Rfam family "Bacterial small subunit ribosomal RNA", at positions 30 to 526 of the family's 1533-position model. The record is from RNAcentral.
AUUGAACGCUGGCGGCAGGCCUAACACAUGCAAGUCGAACGAGUGGCGGACGGGUGAGUAAUGUCUGGGAAACUGCCCGAUGGAGGGGGAUCACUACUGGAAACGGUCGCUAAUACCGCAUACCAUCGGAUGUUCCCAGAUGGGAUUAGCUAGUAGGUGGGGUGAAGGCUCACCUAGGCGACGAUCCCUAGCUGGUCUGAGAGGAUGACCAGCCACACUGGAAAUGAGAGAAGGUCCAGACUCCUACGGUAGGCAGCAGUGGGGAAUAUUGCACAAGGGGCGCAAGCCUGAUGCCGCCAUGCCGCGUGUAUGAAGAAGGCCUUCGGGUUGUAAAGUACUUUCAGCGGGGAGGCGUUACCCGCAGAAGAAGCACUGGCUAACUCCGUGCCAGAAGGCGCGGGAAUAC